This 492-nucleotide ribosomal RNA is filed under the name uncultured bacterium. RNAcentral's name for it is "partial 16S ribosomal RNA". It matches the Rfam family "Bacterial small subunit ribosomal RNA", at positions 29 to 507 of the family's 1533-position model. The record is from RNAcentral.
AGUGAACGCUGGCGGUAGGCCUAACACAUGCAAGUCGAACGGCAACACAGUAAGAGCUGGCGCUUACUGGUGGCGAGGGGCGUACGGGUGAGGAAUACAUCCAGAUCUACGUUUUAGUGGAGGAUAAGGUGUGGCAAUAUAGCCUGAUACCUCAUACGGCCUGCGGGUGACAGCACAGCAACUUCUGACCUUGCGCGUUUGAAUCGGCCGAUGUCGGAUUAGCUAGUUGGCGGGGUAAAGGCCCACCAAGGCGACGAUCCGUAGCUGGUCUGAGAGGAUGAUCAGCCACACUGGAACUGAGACACGGUCCAGACUCCUACGGGAGGCAGCAGUGGGGAAUAUUGGACAAUGGGCGCAAGCCUGAUCCAGCAAUACCGCGUGGGUGAAGAAGGCCUUCGGGUUGUAAAGCCCUUUUGUUAGGAAAGAAAAGCAGCAGGUUAAUACCCCGCUGUUAUGACGGUACCCAAAGAAUAAGCACCGGCUAACUUCGUG